UAGGGAAUUUUUCACAAUGAGCGAAAGCUUGAUGGAGCAAUGCCGCGUGAACGAUGAAGGUCUUCAAGAUUGUAAAGUUCUUUUAUUUGGGAAGAAUGACUUUAGCAGGUAAUGGCUAGAGUUUGACUGUACCAUUUUGAAUAAGUGACGACUAACUAUGUGCCAGCAGUCGCGGUAAUACAUAGGUCGCAAGCGUUAUCCGGAUUUAUUGGGCGUAAAGCAAGCGCAGGCGGAUUGAAAAGUCUGGUGUUAAAGGCAGCUGCUUAACAGUUGUAUGCAUUGGAAACUAUUAAUCUAGAGUGUGGUAGGGAGUUUUGGAAUUUCAUGUGGAGCGGUGAAAUGCGUAGAUAUAUGAAGGAACACCAGUGGCGAAGGCGAAAACUUAGGCCAUUACUGACGCUUAGGCUUGAAAGUGUGGGGAGCAAAUAGGAUUAGAUACCCUAGUAGUCCACACCGUAAACGAUAGAUACUAGCUGUCGGGGCGAUCCCCUCGGUAGUGAAGUUAACACAUUAAGUAUCUCGCCUGGGUAGUACAUUCGCAAGAAUG
This 547-nucleotide ribosomal RNA is filed under the name uncultured bacterium. RNAcentral's name for it is "bacterial SSU rRNA". It matches the Rfam family "Bacterial small subunit ribosomal RNA", at positions 355 to 896 of the family's 1533-position model. The record is from RNAcentral.